RNAcentral lists this long non-coding RNA (280 nucleotides) under Dasypus novemcinctus (nine-banded armadillo). Its description in RNAcentral is "lncRNA (ENSDNOG00000052152.1)". Lineage: Eukaryota; Metazoa; Chordata; Mammalia; Cingulata; Dasypodidae. The record is from RNAcentral.
CAGCAGCCACAGGAGACGCCCCUGCCAGGGGAAGGAGAGUCCUGGCCUUUCCUUCUGGGUGGUAUGGGGUUGUUUUGUAUUUCCGGUACAUACUCUUCAAUAACCUCAAUAUGGACUUCAAAGCUAUUUAAUUAAGCCCCAUACCUAUAAAAAUGAACAUUUAAUACUCAGAGAAAACCCAUGACUUAUUCAUUCUGAAGAUAAACAGGUGAGAUAUCUUCUCAAGCUCAGAGUUCUGAGAUAAUUAAGAUUGGUUGCCAUAGAGAAAGAGAGAUAGAGA